UGUGUGAUUGAUUAUAAUAUUGUGUUUAUGUGUGAUUGACUGUAAUAGUGUGUGAUUGAUUGUAAUAGUGUGUGAUAUUGUGAUUGAUUGAUUGUAAUAUUGUGUGAUUGAUUCAAAUAAUAUCGUGUGAUAGAUUGUAAUAUGUAAUUCAUACUAUAUUGGUUUAUGUGUAAUGAUUAAAACCAAAUUUGGUUAGAUAGCAAAUAAACCCUUAUAUUAGUGUACUAUACUAUAUUCUAUACUAUAUUAGUUUAUUCGCAAUGAUCAAAACUUCUCUAAAGCAUUUACAAAUUUGAGACAAUAAUUCUAUACUACUUGAGACAAUAGUUCUAUCAUAUUUCUUAUAUAUGUAAUAAUCUGCCAUGUUAUAAGUUCCUAAUAAGGGUUUAGUUUGUGUAAUAUUAGAAAACAACUUAUGGAUUAUAUUUGGGUUUAUAGGUUCUUGGUUAGGGUUUAGAUUUACUAAGUAGGGGUUUAGGUAUAGUAGUCAGCAAUUUUGGGUGGAUUAAUUAUGUAUAGUUCUUACCGUAUUUUGGAUGUUGUACUAUGUCACUGAGAUAGAAUUGUACACUCACAACCUAUGGUUAAGAUUAUAUUUGGGUUUAGGUUUAGUAACUAAGGAGUUUGUUUAGGGUUUAAUAUUUAAAUGGGUGGUAUGGUUUAGGAUUUUGUGAUUAAGAUUUAGAGUUUAGUAUUUGGAAGGUGAGGGUUGAGUUUUGGGUUUAGUGAUAACAGUUUAGGGUUUAAUAUUUAAAGUUGGGUGUGAGUUAGUCAUUCUAUACUAUUUAUAAAGGUUUCAUACUAUGCCGUCUAUGUUGAGAAAAUUGGCAGCAUAUUAUAUAGAUUCUAUUUGGGUUUAUAGUUCAGUUAUUUGGGUUUAGAUUUAGAAACUAGAGAGUUUGUCUAGGGUUUAAUAUUUAAGUGGGUGGGUAUAGUAGUCAAAUUUGGUUAGAUAGCUUAUAAACUCUUAUAUUAGUGUACUAUACUAUAUUGGUUUAUUCGUUAUGAUCAAAACUUCUUUAAAUCAUUUACAAAGUCAAUUUGUGACAAUAUUUAUAUACUAUUUGAGACAAUAGUUCUAUAUUAUUUCUUAAAUAUGUAAUAAUUUGUCAUGUUAUAGGUUCCUUGUUAGGGUUUAGGUUAUCUAAUAUUGAAAAAUAGUUUAUAGAUUGUAUUUGGGUUUAUAGGUUCCUGGUUAGGGUUUAGAUUUACUAAGUAGGAGUUUGGGUAUAGUAGUCAGCGAAUUUGGGUGGGUUUAUUAUGUAUAGUUCUUACCGAAUCUUGCGUGUUGUACUAUAUCACUAAGAUAGAAUUGAACACUCGCAAAAUAUGGUUAAGAUUAUAUUUGGGUUUAGAUUUAGUAACUAGGGAGUUUGUCUAGGGUUUAAUAUUUAAGUGGGUGGGUAGGAUUUAAUAUGUAUGUUCCAUACUAUGGCUGAUAAAUUUUAAAUAUAUAGUAAAACAGUUAUAGAUUAUAUUUGGUUUAUAAUUUAG
RNAcentral lists this long non-coding RNA (1494 nucleotides) under Brassica napus (rape). RNAcentral's name for it is "long non-coding RNA (BNAP_LNC013408)". The record is from RNAcentral. Lineage: Eukaryota; Viridiplantae; Streptophyta; Magnoliopsida; Brassicales; Brassicaceae.